CCCAGUUCGGAUCGGAGCCUGCAACCCGGCUCCGUGAAGCUGGAUUCGCUAGUAAUCGCGCAUCAGCCAUGGCGCGGUGAAUACGUUCCCGGGCCUUGUACACACCGCCCGUCAAGCCAUGGGAGCCGGGGGCGCCUGAAGUGCGGUACCGCGAGGGCCGCCCAAGGGCGAGACCGGUGACUGGGGCUAAGUCGUAACAAGGUAGC
Molecule: ribosomal RNA, 206 nt
Filed under: uncultured bacterium
Lineage: Bacteria
Description: partial 16S ribosomal RNA
Rfam family: Bacterial small subunit ribosomal RNA
Source: RNAcentral